This 446-nucleotide ribosomal RNA is filed under the name uncultured bacterium. RNAcentral's name for it is "bacterial SSU rRNA". It matches the Rfam family "Bacterial small subunit ribosomal RNA", at positions 354 to 796 of the family's 1533-position model. The record is from RNAcentral.
GUAAGGAAUAUUGGUCAAUGGAGGGAACUCUGAACCAGCCAUUCCGCGUGAAGGAUGACGGCCCUCUGGGUUGUAAACUUCUUUAGUCUGGGAAGAAAAGUUUGCAUUUAUGCGAAUCUGACGGUACCAGAAGAAUAAGCACCGGCUAACUCCGUGCCAGCAGCCGCGGUAAUACGGAGGGUGCAAGCGUUAUCCGGAAUCACUGGGUUUAAAGGGUGCGUAGGCGGCAUUAUAAGUCAGGAGUGAAAUUCCACAGCUUAACUGUAGGGACUGCUUUUGAUACUGUAGUGCUAGAACCGAGAUGAGGUAGGCGGAAUGUGACAUGUAGCGGUGAAAUGCAUAGAUAUGUCAUAGAACACCAAUUGCGAAGGCAGCUUACUAGACUUAGGUUGACGCUGAGGCACGAAAGCGUGGGGAGCAAACAGGAUUAGAAACCCGAGUAGUCC